Molecule: ribosomal RNA, 292 nt
Filed under: uncultured bacterium
Lineage: Bacteria
Description: partial 16S ribosomal RNA
Rfam family: Bacterial small subunit ribosomal RNA
Source: RNAcentral
GUGCCAGCCGCCGCGGUAAUACGUAGGAUGCAAGCGUUAUCCGGAAUUAUUGGGCGUAAAGCGAACGUAGGCGGUUGCUUAAGUUUGGGGUUAAAGACCAAGGCUCAACCUUGGGAGUGCCCUGAAUACUGGGCGGCUGGAGGACGGCAGAGGAAAGUGGAAUUCCAAGUGUAGCGGUGAAAUGCGUAGAUAUUUGGAGGAACACCAGUGGCGAAAGCGACUUUCUGGGCCGUUCCUGACGCUGAGGUUCGAAAGCCAGGGGAGCAAACGGGAUUAGAUACCCUAGUAGUCC